RNAcentral lists this ribosomal RNA (1425 nucleotides) under Microporella ordo. Its description in RNAcentral is "SSU rRNA". It matches the Rfam family "Eukaryotic small subunit ribosomal RNA", at positions 280 to 1718 of the family's 1831-position model. Lineage: Eukaryota; Metazoa; Bryozoa; Gymnolaemata; Cheilostomatida; Microporellidae. The record is from RNAcentral.
CGAGCCGGCGACACCUUCACUGAGUUUCUGAUCUAUCAUGCUGACGACGGUUGGUGCUAUGCCAACCGUGGCGUUAACGGAUAACAGAGAAUCUGGGUUCGAUUCUGGAGAGGCCGCAUGAGAAACGGCGACCACUUCUAAGGAAGGCAGCAGGCACGCAAAUUACCCACUUCGGACACCGAGAGGUAGUGACGAACAAUACCGAUGCGGCGCACUUACGUGUCGCCGUAAUCGGAAUGAGUACAAUUCAAAUCCUUUAACGAGGAUCAACUGGAGGGCAAGCCUGGUGCCAGCAGCCGCGGUAAUUCCAGCUCCAGCAGCGUAUAUUUAUAUUGCUGCGUUUAAAAAGCUCGUAGUUGAAGCGUCAGACGCGGGAGGGCGGACGGCCGCACAGGUCGCUCUCGCCCGACCGAGCCAGGCGCAGAGGGCGCGCGUCGCUUGCACUUUGCCGUGUGAGCGCGCCGCCGCUGCACGUUCACCUUGAAGAAAUUGAACCGCUUAGAGGGGGCGAGCAGCUUGAACAGCUCAGCAUGGUAUGAUGGAACAUGGGCUCGUACUCAUUUUGUUGGUUAGAGAGUUGGCGAGCCAAUGAUUAACAGGGACUGCCGGGGGCAUUCGUACUCGGACGGGAGAGGUGAAAUUCAAGGAUCGUCCGAAGACGCCCUACUGCGAAAGCAUUUGCCAAGAAUGUUUUCAUUAAUCAAGAACGAAAGUCAGAGGUGCGAAGGCGAUCAGAUACCGCCGUAGUUCUGACCGUAAACGAUGCCGACUGGCAAUUGGGCGCACUUCUGUCGAAGUUGCCGCCAGCAGUACUGCCCGGGAAACCAAAGUCAUUGGGUUCCGGGGGGAGUAUGGUUGCAAAGCUGAAACUUAAAGGAAUUGACGGAAGGGCACCACCAGGAGUGGAGCCUGCGGCUUAAUUUGACUCAACACGGGAAACCUCACCCGGCCCGAACACUGUUAUGACAGACAGGUUGAGAGCUCUUUCUCGAUUCAGUGGUUGGUGGUGCAUGGCCGUUCUUAGUUCGUGGAGCGAUCUGUCUGGUUAAUUCCGAUAACGAACGAGACUCUUGCCUGCUAAAUAGACGGCGCCGACUCGGCACGGCGACCGUUUGCUUCUUAGAGGGACAAGCGGCUUUUAGCCGCGUGAAGCCGAGAGCAAUAACAGGUCAGUGAUGCCCUCAGAUGUUCGGGGCCGCACGCGCGCUACACUGUUUGCAUCAGCGUGUUCCUCCCGCGCCGGCUGGCGUGGGCAACCCGUUGAACCGCAAACGUGCUAGGGAUCGGAGAUUGCAAUUGUUCUCCGUGAACGAGGAAUUCCUUGUACUGGCGAGUCAUCAGCUCGCGGGGAAUCUGUCCCUGCCCUUUGUACACACCGCCCGUCGCUACUACCGAUUGAGUGGUUUAGUGAGGCUCACGGACUGC